AGUGUGUAGAAUCUAACUUUUGUUCAGUGUUAAUAUCAUAUAAUUUGGUUGGAAAACCAAGUAAUAGAAGGUGAUAACCCUGUAAUAUGAUAUGACUGAAUGUUGGAUUCUUGGAGUCGAGUUGUUUGGGAAUGCAACUCGAAGUGGGUGGUGAACUCCAUCUAAGGCUAAAUAUGUUCAAGAGACCGAUAGUGAACAAGUACCGUGAGGGAAAGAUGAAAAGAACUUUGAGAAAAGAGUGAAAUAGUACUUGAAAUCGUAUAGAGGUUAAGCAGAGUUGGUGGAUAUUGUAUUUGAAUGUACUAUAAUCAAUUGAUUAUGGCUUAUUCUUAUACAUAGUAUAAUUUGUGUGUGAAUUGGUUAAUAUUAAAACGAAUAUGCGCAUAAAUGAUAUAAAUCCUACAUCUCUGUCCCGUCUUGAAACACGGACCAAGGAGUCUAUCCUGUAUGCAAGUUGUAUGGUGUAAAACCAAUAAGCGUAAUGAAAGUAAGAGGUGUGAAAGUUGUAAAAGUGUCAACACCUGCCGAUCUAAAUUCUUUGAUGAAAGAUUCGAGUAUGAGCAUAUAGGGUGGGACCCGAAAGAUGGUGAACUAUGCCUGAAUAGGACGAAGCCAGGGGAAACUCUGGUGGAGGUUCGAGUGGAUUCUAACGUGCAAAUUGAUCUUUAAAUUUGGGUAUAGGGGCGAAAGACUAAUCGAACCAUCUAGUAGCUGGUUCAUUCCGAAAUUUCCCUCAGGAUAGCUGCAACUUAUGAAAUAGUUUUAUGAGGUAAAGCGAAUGAUUAGAGGUUUCUGGGAUGGAAUAUCCUGGACCUAUUCUCAAACUUUCAAUGGGUAAGAAAAGUGUGAUGUUUAAUUAAUCAUACUAUUUGAAUAUGAGUUGCAAGUGGGCCAUUCCGGGUAAGCUGGACUGGCAAUGCGGGAUCAACCGAACGCUAUGUUACGGCGCCAGAUUGUUCGCUCAGUUGGAUGUAAAAGGUGUUAGUUCAUCUAGACAGCAGGACGGUGGCCAUGGAAGUCGGAAUCCGCUAAGGAGUGUGUAACAACUCACCUGCCGAAUGAAGUAGCCCUGAAAAUGGAUGGCGCUUAAGCGAACAGCCUAUACAUAGCCAUUAUUGUUAGGAUUAUACAAUAAUGAGUAGGAAUGCGUGAUGAAUGUUGUGAAGUAUGAUGUGUGAACAUGUAUGGAACAUUCAUUAGUGCAGAUCUUGGUGGAAGUAGCAAAUAUUCAAAUGAGAUCUUUGAAGACUGAAGUGGAGAAAGGUUCCAUAGGAAUAGUGAUUAUCUAUGGGUUAGUCGAUCCUAAGAGAUAGGUGAAAUCCAUUGAAAAGUCAAUUUCGAUUGACAUUUAUCGAAAGGGAAUCAGGUUAAUAUUCCUGAACCGGCCCGGAAGUGACGGAUUGAGUAAAUUGUAAGUUCUUAUUGGAUUGAGCUUGCAGUGAAUCAGUCCCAGGAAAUAGCCCGGGCUAAGACCGUACCCGAAACCGACACAGGUGGACAGGUAGAGUAUACCAAGGCGCUUGAGAGAACUAUGCUGAAGGAACUCGGCAAAUUGCACGCGUAACUUCGGAAUAAGCGUGACUCACCCUGGGCAACCAGGACUGAGUGGCACAAGCCAGGGGGUAGCGACUGUUUAGCAAAAACAUAGGGCUCUGCGAAGCAUCAAUGCGACGUAUAGGGUCUGACGCCUGCCCGGUGCCUGAAGGUUAAAGGGAGGAGUGAAAGCUCCGAACUGAAGCCCAGGUAAACGGCGGCCGUAACUAUAACGGUCCUAAGGUAGCGAAAUUCCUUGUCGGGUAAGUUCCGACCUGCACGAAUGGCGUAACGACUUCCCCACUGUCUCCAGCACAGGCUCAGUGAAAUUGAAUUCCCCGUGAAGAUGCGGGGUUCCCGCGGUCAGACGGAAAGACCCUAUGAACCUUUACUAUAGCUUCGCCUUGGCGUUAGCGACCGUAUGUGUAGGAUAGGUGGGAGGCUAUGAAGCCGGGGCGCCAGCUCUGGUGGAGCCAUCCUUGAAAUACCACCCUUACUGUCGUUGACGUCUAACCGAGGGCCGUUAUCCGGUCCCGGGACAUGGCGUGGUGGGUAGUUUGACUGGGGCGGUCGCCUCCCAAAGAGUAACGGAGGCGCGCGAUGGUUAGCUCAGACCGGUCGGAAAUCGGUCGUCGAGUGCAAUGGCAUAAGCUAGCCUGACUGCGAGACUGACAAGUCGAGCAGAGACGAAAGUCGGCCAUAGUGAUCCGGUGGUCCCGCGUGGAAGGGCCAUCGCUCAACGGAUAAAAGGUACUCUAGGGAUAACAGGCUGAUUUUGCCCAAGAGUCCAUAUCGACGGCAAAGUUUGGCACCUCGAUGUCGGCUCAUCACAUCCUGGGGCUGGAGCAGGUCCCAAGGGUUCGGCUGUUCGCCGAUUAAAGUGGUACGUGAGCUGGGUUCAGAACGUCGUGAGACAGUUUGGUCCCUAUCUGCCGUGGGUGUUCGAAGCUUGAGAGGAUCUGUCCCUAGUACGAGAGGACCGGGAUGGACAUACCUCUGGUGGACCUGUCAUGGCGCCAGCCGUGCAGCAGGGUAGCUAAGUAUGGAAUAGAUAACCGCUGAAAGCAUCUAAGCGGGAAACUAACCUCAAAACAAGGCUUCGCUGAGGAUCGUGGAAGACUACCACGUUGAUAGGCCAGGUGUGGAAGCGCGGUGACGUGUGAAGCUUACUGGUACUAAUAAUCCGAUCGGCUUGAUCGU
RNAcentral lists this ribosomal RNA (2733 nucleotides) under human gut metagenome. RNAcentral describes it as "bacterial LSU rRNA". It matches the Rfam family "Eukaryotic large subunit ribosomal RNA". The record is from RNAcentral.